This 499-nucleotide ribosomal RNA is filed under the name uncultured bacterium. Its description in RNAcentral is "partial 16S ribosomal RNA". It matches the Rfam family "Bacterial small subunit ribosomal RNA", at positions 28 to 507 of the family's 1533-position model. The record is from RNAcentral.
GACGAACGCUGGCGGCGUGCUUAACACAUGCAAGUCGAACGGGCCCGCUCUCUUUUUUGGGGGUGGGUUGAGUGGCGAACGGGUGAGUAUCACGUGAGUAACCUGCCCCCUGCUCCUGGAUAACUUCUUGAAAGGGCGGCUAAUACGGGGUGUGCCGGCUGGUCCGCAUGGGCCUGGUCGGGAUCGUUUUAUCUUCGGGUGUUUCGGUGGGGGAUGGGCUCGCGGCCUAUCAGCUUGUUGGUGGGGUGAUGGCCCACCAAGGCGGUGACAGGUAGCCGGCCUGGGGGGGGGGGCGGCCACACUGGGACUGAGACACGGGCCAGACUCCGGCGGGAGGCAGCAGUGGGGGGUAGUGCACAAUGGGCGGAAGACUGAUGCAGCGACGUCGCGUGAGGGAUGGAGGCCUUCGGGUUGAGAACCUCUUUCUCCGGUGGUGAAGGCCCUGUCCGUUGCGGCGGGGUUGACGGUAGCCGGGUAUGAAGCGCCGGCUAACUACGUG